AGUGAACGCUGGCGGUAGGCCUAACACAUGCAAGUCGAACGGCAGCACAGGAGAGCUUGCUCUCUGGGUGGCGAGUGGCGGACGGGUGAGGAAUACAUCGGAAUCUACUCUGUCGUGGGGGAUAACGUAGGGAAACUUACGCUAAUACCGCAUACGACCUACGGGUGAAAGCAGGGGACCUUCGGGCCUUGCGCGAUUGAAUGAGCCGAUAUCGGAUUAGCUAGGUGGCGGGGUAAAGGCCCACCAAGGCGACGAUCCGUAGAUGGUCUGAGAGGAUGAUCAGCCACACUGGAACGGAGACACGGUCCAGGCUCCUACGGGAGGCAGCAGUGGGGAAUAUUGGAGAAUGGGCGCAAGCCUGAUCCAGCCAUACCGCGUGGGUGAAGAAGGCCUUCGGGUUGUAAAGCCCUUUUGUUGGGAAAGAAAUCCAGCUGGCUAAUACCCGGUUGGGAUGACGGUACCCAAAGAAUAAGCACCGGCUAACUUCGUGCCAGCAGCCGCCGCCG
RNAcentral lists this ribosomal RNA (506 nucleotides) under uncultured bacterium. RNAcentral describes it as "partial 16S ribosomal RNA". It matches the Rfam family "Bacterial small subunit ribosomal RNA", at positions 29 to 523 of the family's 1533-position model. The record is from RNAcentral.